GGUAACUUGUUUUGAUAAUCAGAUAUUUCUGGAUCAUUUAAUCACUUAUUUGGUGUAAUUUAUAAAGGUUGUUUUUACCUGUGUCGCCCCAACAUAACAGAUUUAAUUCUUGUAUUUAGAUAUUAGGGUUAUUAAGAUUUUGUCUGUAAAGUUCUAUAGGGUCUUCUCGUCUUUUUUUUUAAUCAAAGCUUUUUAACUAUGAAAUUAAUUUAAAUUAUGGGAAGGAGAGACAGUUGGCUUUUCGUUAAAUCUUUCAUACUGGCCUUUAAUUAAAAGGCUAUUGAUUGUGCUACCUUUGCACGGUUAUGAAUACCGCGGCUCUUUAAAUUUGUAUAUCAGGGUGCAGAUUUUACUCCUUAAUCGUGGAGAGGAGAA
RNAcentral lists this ribosomal RNA (375 nucleotides) under Parapsalis infernalis. RNAcentral's name for it is "partial 16S ribosomal RNA". The record is from RNAcentral. Lineage: Eukaryota; Metazoa; Arthropoda; Insecta; Dermaptera; Pygidicranidae.